CCCUACGGGGUGCACCAGCACGACGGAGUGUGGUGGUUUUCGUGGACCCCGCAGUACUGCAAGCCGGUGCUGCCCUACGAACCCGUGCCUCGAGCCGAUGUUCGUCCCGCGCCCAUCCGCAGUCUGCUCGGCUACGGCAUGGUGGUGCCCGAGGGACAUCCCGCCAACGAUCAGGUGCACGUGAUGGUGGUGUCGGCGGCCGAACGCGUCGAACCCUAUUCCCUGAAGGCUGUCGAGAAGUCCAAGCGCAGCCAGGUGCGGACGGGCCUGAC
This 272-nucleotide ribosomal RNA is filed under the name uncultured prokaryote. RNAcentral's name for it is "partial 16S ribosomal RNA". The record is from RNAcentral.